AUCAUCUGGCAAUUUUGGUAAAAUGCAGAUUCUAUUUUGGUACAUCUCGGGUAGGGCCCAAGAUUCUGCAUUUCUAACAAGUUCCCAGAUAAUGCUUU
This 98-nucleotide microRNA precursor is filed under the name Myotis davidii. RNAcentral describes it as "mir-544 microRNA precursor family". It matches the Rfam family "mir-544 microRNA precursor family". Lineage: Eukaryota; Metazoa; Chordata; Mammalia; Chiroptera; Vespertilionidae. The record is from Rfam by way of RNAcentral.